RNAcentral lists this ribosomal RNA (253 nucleotides) under uncultured bacterium. Its description in RNAcentral is "partial 16S ribosomal RNA". It matches the Rfam family "Bacterial small subunit ribosomal RNA", at positions 524 to 776 of the family's 1533-position model. The record is from RNAcentral.
UACGAAGGGGGCUAGCGUUGUUCGGAUUUACUGGGCGUAAAGCGCACGUAGGCGGAUCGAUCAGUCAGGGGUGAAAUCCCGGGGCUCAACCUCGGAACUGCCUUUGAUACAGCAAGUCUUGAGUUCGAGAGAGGUGGGUGGAAUUCCUAGUGUAGAGGUGAAAUUCGUAGAUAUUAGGAAGAACACCGGUGGCGAAGGCGGCCCACUGGCUCGAUACUGACGCUGAGGUGCGAAAGCGUGGGGAGCAAACAGG